This 466-nucleotide ribosomal RNA is filed under the name uncultured bacterium. RNAcentral describes it as "SSU rRNA". It matches the Rfam family "Bacterial small subunit ribosomal RNA", at positions 26 to 518 of the family's 1533-position model. The record is from RNAcentral.
AGGACUAACGCUGGCGGCGUGCCUAACACAUGCAAGUCGAACGAGAGUAGCAAUACUUUAGUGGCAGACGGGUGAGUAACACGUGGUCAACCUACCUUUUAGUGGGGGAUAACUAGCCGAAAGGUUAGCUAAUACCGCAUACGAUCUUCGGGUGGCAUCACCUGAAGAAGAAAAGAGCAAUCUGCUAAAAGACGGGACCGCGUCCCAUUAGCUAGUUGGUGAGGUAACGGCCCACCAAGGCGACGAUGGGUAGCUGGCUUGAGAGAGCGACCAGCCACACUGGGACUGAGACACGGCCCAGACUCCUACGGGAGGCAGCAGUGAGGAAUUUUCCGCAAUGGGCGAAAGCCUGACGGAGCGACGCCGCGUGUGGGAAGAAGGCCUUCGGGUCGUAAACCACUGUCGAGGGGAAGAUAUUGACGGUACCCUUGGAGGAAGCCCCGGCUAACUACGUGCCAGCAGCCGC